Molecule: ribosomal RNA, 235 nt
Filed under: uncultured soil bacterium
Lineage: Bacteria
Description: partial 16S ribosomal RNA
Rfam family: Bacterial small subunit ribosomal RNA
Source: RNAcentral
AGAGUGAACGCUGGCGGUAGGCCUAACACAUGCAAGUCGAACGGCAGCACAGUAGGAGCUUGCUCUUACGGGUGGCGAGUGGCGGACGGGUGAGGAAUACAUCGGAAUCUACCUUUUGGUGGGGGAUAACGUAGGGAAACUUACGCUAAUACCGCAUACGCCCUUCGGGGAAAGCCGGGGACCAGCAAUGGCCUGGUGCUGAUAGAUGAGCCGAUGUCGGAUUAGCUAGUGGUGA